CGCGUAGGUGGUGAGGUAAGUCGGAUGUGAAAUCUCGGAGCUUAACUCCGAAACUGCAUUGGAAACUACCUUGCUUGAGGAUUGGAGGGGGGACUGGAAUUCUCGGUGUAGCAGUGAAAUGCGUAGAUAUCGAGAGGAACACCAGUGGCGAAGGCGAGUCCCUGGACAAUACCUGACACUGAGGCACGAAAGCUAGGGGAGCAAACA
RNAcentral lists this ribosomal RNA (207 nucleotides) under uncultured bacterium. Its description in RNAcentral is "partial 16S ribosomal RNA". It matches the Rfam family "Bacterial small subunit ribosomal RNA", at positions 568 to 774 of the family's 1533-position model. The record is from RNAcentral.